RNAcentral lists this ribosomal RNA (301 nucleotides) under uncultured bacterium. Its description in RNAcentral is "partial 16S ribosomal RNA". It matches the Rfam family "Bacterial small subunit ribosomal RNA", at positions 509 to 807 of the family's 1533-position model. The record is from RNAcentral.
CAGCCGCCGCGGUAAUACAGAGGGUGCAAGCGUUAAUCGGAAUUACUGGGCGUAAAGCGCGCGUAGGUGGUUUGUUAAGUUGGAUGUGAAAGCCCCGGGCUCAACCUGGGAACUGCAUCCAAAACUGGCAAGCUAGAGUACGGUAGAGGGUGGUGGAAUUUCCUGUGUAGCGGUGAAAUGCGUAGAUAUAGGAAGGAACACCAGUGGCGAAGGCGACCACCUGGACUGAUACUGACACUGAGGUGCGAAAGCGUGGGGAGCAAACAGGAUUAGAGACCCCUGUAGUCCCUGUCUCUUAUAC